UACGUAGGGCGCAAGCGUUAUCCGGAAUUAUUGGGCGUAAAGAGCUCGUAGGCGGUUUGUCGCGUCUGGCGUGAAAGUCCGGGGCUCAACUCCGGAUCUGCGGUGGGUACGGGCAGACUAGAGUGAUGUAGGGGAGACUGGAAUUCCUGGUGUAGCGGUGAAAUGCGCAGAUAUCAGGAGGAACACCGAUGGCGAAGGCAGGUCUCUGGGCAGUAACUGACGCUGAGGAGCGAAAGCCAGGGGAGCAAACAGG
Molecule: ribosomal RNA, 253 nt
Filed under: uncultured bacterium
Lineage: Bacteria
Description: partial 16S ribosomal RNA
Rfam family: Bacterial small subunit ribosomal RNA
Source: RNAcentral